UACGUAGGGGGCAAGCGUUGUCCGGAUUUAUUGGGCGUAAAGAGCGUGUAGGCGGCCGUACAGGUCAGCUGUGAAAACUCGAAGCUCAACCUCGAGACGUCGGUUGAAACCGUACGGCUAGAGUCCGGAAGAGGAGAGUGGAAUUCCCGGUGUAGCGGUGAAAUGCGCAGAUAUCGGGAAGAACACCCGUGGCGAAGGCGGCUCUCUGGGCCUUACCUGACGCUGAGGAGCGAAAGCGUGGGGAGCGAACAGG
RNAcentral lists this ribosomal RNA (253 nucleotides) under uncultured bacterium. RNAcentral describes it as "partial 16S ribosomal RNA". It matches the Rfam family "Bacterial small subunit ribosomal RNA", at positions 524 to 776 of the family's 1533-position model. The record is from RNAcentral.